AUGGCUCAGAAUGAACGCUGGCGGCGUAGCCUAACACGAUGCAAGUCGAACGAGAAAGGAAGGUGCUUGCACCAACCAAUCGAGUGGCGACGGGUGAGUAACGCGUGGGUAACCUGCCUCAUACAGGGGGAUAACAACUGGAAACGGUUGAUAAUACCGCAUAAGCGCACAGCAUCGCAUGAUGCAGUGUGAAAAACUCCGGUGGUAUGAGAUGGACCCGCGUCUGAUUAGCCAGUUGGCGGGGUAACGGCCCACCAAAGCGACGAUCAGUAGCCGGCCUGAGAGGGUGAACGGCCACAUUGGGACUGAGACACGGCCCAAACUCCUACGGGAGGCAGCAGUGGGGAAUAUUGCACAAUGGGGGAAACCCUGAUGCCAGCGACGCCGCGUGAGCGAAGAAGUAUUUCGGUAUGUAAAGCUCUAUCAGCAGGGAAGAAAAUGACGGUACCUGACUAAGAAGCCCCGGCUAACUACGUGCCAGCCGCGGC
This 488-nucleotide ribosomal RNA is filed under the name uncultured bacterium. RNAcentral's name for it is "bacterial SSU rRNA". It matches the Rfam family "Bacterial small subunit ribosomal RNA", at positions 19 to 518 of the family's 1533-position model. The record is from RNAcentral.